This 576-nucleotide long non-coding RNA is filed under the name Lathyrus oleraceus (garden pea). RNAcentral describes it as "Pisum sativum (pea) long non-coding RNA (PSAT_LNC033336)". The record is from RNAcentral. Lineage: Eukaryota; Viridiplantae; Streptophyta; Magnoliopsida; Fabales; Fabaceae.
UUGUUCUAGAUUAUUUUGGCACUUGACUCAAAUCACUAAAUUCCCUUUACUCGAAUCAAACAUGAUUUUUUCAUUUAUUUUUGUGUUUCAUCUCCAGCAUCUCUAUAAAUCAUUUUCCUCCCUCCCUCAUAAUUCAUAACAUGAAAAUGAUUAUUGUGAUGAUAAUCAUAUCGUUGAAAGUCUUUCUAAAAACAUGUAAGCUCGCUUUGAAAGAACACCUUUCACAUCUAUCUUUGGCAUCUGAACUCAUCUUUAACCUAUAGCAAUAUUAACAUCAAUUUCUUCUUAAUUCAUAUAGAAUGUGAGAUCAUUGUAGAGGAGGUUCAUUCUUUUUAUGUUUGUGAAGUUCUUAAGUUACAUGUCAAGAUUCAGAUUUGUGUGGUGUUACUGGAGUUUGGUAAUCUAGCAAUAAAAAGAAGAAGUAUUUUCUCCAGUUUACUUUGGUAGAGUUGUGCAGAAGUCUACAAACAAAGUCAGUAUUUUUGUGUUCUUCAUACAGAUCAAUGUACAAGGGACCGGUAGGACCGUGUAAAGGUUGUUGCAUAACGGAAGCUUGACAGGGACUUGUAUCUGGAA